CAAUUGUUGGUCUUCAACGAGGAAUGCCUAGUAAGCGCGAGUCAUCAGCUCGCGUUGACUACGUCCCUGCCCUUUGUACACACCGCCCGUCGCUCCUACCGAUUGAAUGGUCCGGUGAAGUGUUCGGAUCGCGGCGACGGGGGCGGUUCGCCGCCCCCGACGUCGCGAGAAGUCCAUUGAACCUUAUCAUUUAGAGGAAGGAGAAGUCGUAACAAGGUUUCCGUAGGUGAACCUGCGGAAGGAUCAUUG
This 249-nucleotide ribosomal RNA is filed under the name Peyritschia virletii. RNAcentral describes it as "partial 18S ribosomal RNA". It matches the Rfam family "Eukaryotic small subunit ribosomal RNA", at positions 1587 to 1831 of the family's 1831-position model. Lineage: Eukaryota; Viridiplantae; Streptophyta; Magnoliopsida; Poales; Poaceae. The record is from RNAcentral.